GCCCCCGUAGCGUAAUCGGUCAACGCGUCGGCCUUUUAAGCCGGAAGAUCCCGGUUCGAGUCCGGGCGGGGGCA
RNAcentral lists this transfer RNA (74 nucleotides) under Actinomycetes bacterium. RNAcentral's name for it is "Actinobacteria bacterium tRNA-Lys". It matches the Rfam family "tRNA". From Rfam's summary of the family: Transfer RNA (tRNA) molecules are approximately 80 nucleotides in length. Their secondary structure includes four short double-helical elements and three loops (D, anti-codon, and T loops). Further hydrogen bonds mediate the characteristic L-shaped molecular structure. tRNAs have two regions of fundamental functional importance: the anti-codon, which is responsible for specific mRNA codon recognition, and the 3' end, to which the tRNAs corresponding amino acid is attached (by aminoacyl-tRNA synthetases). tRNAs cope with the degeneracy of the genetic code in two manners: having more than one tRNA (with a specific anti-codon) for a particular amino acid; and 'wobble' base-pairing, i.e. permitting non-standard base-pairing at the 3rd anti-codon position. RNAcentral also lists the same sequence under 1 other name. The record is from RNAcentral. Lineage: Bacteria; Bacillati; Actinomycetota; Actinomycetes.